ACGACAACAUAACUUUCUGUUCCAAUGAGGUAGGAUGACGAGCCUAUGUCAGAAUGGUUUAGAUAAAACUACAGAACGAAGCCAACAUCAGCAUGAGCUUUGUUUGCGAAUGGUAUGAACUUUGAACUCUUAUUCAUGACAGAAAUUAUACCUCCUAGCCAUUGAGUUAGCGACCGCAGUUGCAAACGCAGGUUAGGAAGGAACGGACAGAGUAUCCCAUCUACCACACAACGACGUUACUACAACUUAUCCAAGUGACCACCAGAUACAUUCUUCAAAGGACAGAGGACUCGGUUUGGCAACACGGUCUUCCAUCUAGCACCAACCUACUGAUGCGCAGCUCAGAGACCAAAGGCUGUCCCCAAGCCCUCUCCACCAGUUUUGUCAGAGUCCUCUCUGAGAGCAGGUCCCAGUUCCACAUCCAGUGAGGUGGUUACAAUUCCUUGGCACAAACUACUCUCUAACCUCACUCUUGACAUGGAAGAAAAGAAGAGACCAAGCAAAUCACUCGGAAGAGAGAUGAUUCGCAUUGUCACUGCUGAUCUACUGAGCAAAGAGACCAGGCCCGGAAGAGGAGAGCUGUGGCAAGUUGCAAAAGAGAUUGUAGAGAAAUAUCCCUGCUUGAUGUAGUCAUUGCGUGCUAUGAAUAUGGAACCAAAUAGUUUACUUUAUAAUACUUUAAUAUACAUAUUAAUUGGUUUUGUCCAAAUACAUUUGGCCCCAUAAAAUGGGAGGACUAUGUACAAAAAGUGCUGUGGAGGAGGAAUAAUGAUCUGUGCUGUUUUUCAUGGUUCAGGUUAGGCUCCUUAGUUCCAGUGAAGGGAAAUCUUAACGCUAUAGCACACAAUGACAUUCUAGACGAUUCUGUGCUUCCAACUUUGUGGCAACAGUUUGGGGAAGGCCCUAUCCUGUUACAGCAAUGCCCCAGUGCACAAAGCAAGGUCCAUACAGAAACAGUUUGUCGAGAAUGGUGUGGAAGAUCUUUACUGGCCUGCACAGAACCCACAGAACCUCAACUCCAUUGAAUACCUUUGGGAUUAAUUGAAACGCCGACUGCGAGCCAGGCCUAAUCGCCCAACAUCAGUGCCCAACCUCACUAAUGCUCUUGUGGCUGAAUGGAAGCAAGUACCCUCAGCAAUGUUCCAACAUCUAAUGGAAAGCCUUCCCAGAAAAGUGGAGGCUGUUAUACCAGCAAAGGGGAAACCAACUCUGUAUUAAUGCCCAUGAUUUUGGAUUUAAAUAUUUGACAAGUAGGUGUCCACAUACUUUUGGUCAUGUAGUAUGUUUUCCAUAUAUAAGAAAACAUAUAUGCUUGUAUAUACAGGUACAUGCACUAUUUUAGCAACAUUUCUGUAUAAAAAGUGAAAAAUUUACUGGCAAAAAAUUACCGGGACAAAUUCUAUUAUUUUACAGCCAGUUCCUUCAAAUAAACUACAGAAAAUACUGUAUAAACACAGUGACUGUCCGUUAACAUACGGAGCUGAUACUGUAUGAAAAACAAAGCUGUGUAAACGAUUCCAAUACACAACCUAUCAAACCUGUAAUUCAGAUUGAAUCAUGAUUGAAUGUUAUUUAACUGCCUUUGGUUUAUCACAUCUCCAAAACUUCACGCAUAACCUUGAUUUCCUCCAUACAAUAACUUUCCAAUAGCCCCUGAGUUUAGAUAUGUAUUAAUCUUAGCUUAUGGGCUAGAGAGGCCACUGGGGUGACCAUCCACCAAAGAAGACAUUUCAGCUCAACCAUAACAGCUAAAGAGAUUUCAUCAUACCCUUAUUGUCCCCUCAAGAUAUGAAUGCUACAUUUACAUUAAUUACCUUGAUUAUUGGACACCCUUUAUCCAGGACCACUGUACACACGCUGAGGCUGCGUUUAGACAGGCAAACUAAUUCAGAUCUUUUUUUUCACUAAUUGGUCUUUUGACCAAUCAGAUCAGCACUGAAAAAUACCUGAUGUGAAAAGAUUUGAUGUGAUUGGUCAAAAUACCAAUUAGUGGAAAAAAUAUCCGAAUUGUGCUGCCUGUCUAAACACAGCCGUAGUUUUGUAUCCUCCAUCUCACAUGGUCUUUGCCACAACUUAAAAUUUCCCUUCACCAGUUCUUGCAUUAGUAAGAUACUAAUAAUUGUAUUGCAUCUAGUUUUAAAGAAUUUAACUUUUGGCUUAAUUCAACAUAAAAAGUGGGCGCCCUACUAUUGUACAUGCAAGGGAUAUAUUCACACUACAGGUACCAUGUCAAUACAUUUUCAGACCAUAGUGGCUGUGGAUAAGCAUUGUCAGGGUAGUUUCUUGGAAUCACAACUUGAAGGAAAUUCAAUAACAUGUUGUGAGAGAGCAUACAACAUAUUGUUUUUAUAUUUUUUUUAAAUGCUACCUAACAUUCGAGGUAAUUUAGAUGAGGUUUUGUUAUUAAUAUAGCACACUGCCAUAACACGGUACUGACUACAACGGCAAUGUGAAUGGAUUGAAAUGAAUGAGAACGACUGUUCUAAUCUGGCCUUUACAGUACAGUAUAUCCCACCUUUUAUGUAUGUAGUGAAUAGACUGCAGAAUGGAGGGGAGGGCGAGUGCAGACAAACAGCCUGUCCCCUAUUUAUGUGAAUUCAUUUCAUUGCAUAUCCACUUUGAUCCGCUUUUGAUAUCCACAAAAUACAGUCAGAUACAGUUUAUGACGAUGGUUUAUGAAAGAAUAUGGUUAUCAGAUGUUAUCAUUCUAAUUGUUAACCUUUCAGCACCUAAAUAUUGAUUUGGUGAAAAGGUUGUUUUAAAAUCUGAAGUCAUUCAAUAUUGAUUUCAACAUCCAUUUUUUUUCUAAACAAUUGCUGUGUAUCACUUCAGCACAUAGUUCUGUCAUGCCUUGUACAAUAUCACUGACUGGUUCUGUCCCUUGGCUAGCUUUUUAUCUGACCUGCUAUUCAUUACAUAGACACCAACCCUCUCACAUGCCACAAAAACAUGAUCUCAGAUAAACUGUCAGUCUUAGUAAAGGGAAGGAUGAUAGGAAGGAGGAGGCGGUAGAGAGGACGGGGUUAUGGCUUCCCCAUCGCAUCAGUGCAAGCCCUGCCAUCACACAGUCUGUUUUGCUGAGCUGGCAGGCGGGAGGGGAAGCUCUGGGGACCUCUGAGCAUGCUGCUUAUCAGAGAGACACACAUGGACCACAGAUUCAAUGACGCAAUGAAAACCAUGCCCUCUCUGAUCACCCCGGUACCGUCUCAAAUGGCACCCUAUUCCCUAUUUAUUGCACCACUUUUGAACAGGACCCAGUAGGGAAUAGGGUACAGUUUGGGGCGCAGACCCGUCCCACAUAUCUCUACCACCUCCCCCCUUCAUCAGUUGUUUUACAUAACAAUGAACUGUGCUGCAUCAUAAAGUGACUCAGUUAAUCAGACUGAAAGGGCUACUAUAGUGAGCCCUACUUACUGUAAUACCCCCUAUGACCAAGUCUUUAUUGAGACAGCCAUUUGACUCUGUUCUGCCAGCACCAUUGAGAGGGCUGGCCUUGUCUCUCACAUAGGAGACUGAGGACAGUGCAGACUAAUGUACAGUAAUGUGUCUGGCUUAAUGGCUUGCCACAACACAUACAUGUAUUAACAAACAUUUCCUAAUUUGCUGUUAGUGAUUUGUUGUCCAUGUGCCCAAACUUGUUUAAUCCCUUUUCCCUGAUAUAUGAACCUGAACAGUAGAGGUUCAUGUCAGGGUCAAAGGACAUAACGGACUCCUUCCUCAGCUCAUUAUGAAGCUAGUUUAAUGGAUGAUCGAGUUUGACAGGAAUCUGAUUUACCAAAAGUAAAAAUAUGGAAAAGUACAAUUAUGAAGAUGUACAGUAGGUGUGUGUACUGAAUGUAUAGCAGUGAACUGUUAGCACAGCUGUGUCCAAUUAAAAAUGUAACAACUCUCA
Long non-coding RNA from Oncorhynchus kisutch (coho salmon), 3892 nucleotides. RefSeq lists it as uncharacterized. The transcript has 2 exons. Lineage: Eukaryota; Metazoa; Chordata; Actinopteri; Salmoniformes; Salmonidae. The record is from RefSeq and is a predicted model, not a curated record.